UACGUAGGGUGCGAGCGUUAAUCGGACUUACUGGGCGUAAAGCGUGCGCAGGCUGUUCGUUGUGUCGGUGGUGAAAGCCCCGGGCUUAACCUGGGAAUGGCCAUGGAAACUGGCGAACUGGAGUGUGGCAGAGGGGGGUGGAAUUCCGCGUGUAGCAGUGAAAUGCGUAGAGAUGCGGAGGAACACCGAUGGCGAAGGCAGCCCCCUGGGCUAGCACUGACGCUCAGGCACGAAAGCGUGGGGAGCAAACAGG
Molecule: ribosomal RNA, 253 nt
Filed under: uncultured bacterium
Lineage: Bacteria
Description: partial 16S ribosomal RNA
Rfam family: Bacterial small subunit ribosomal RNA
Source: RNAcentral